AGGCAGGGACGACCCUGCGGCUCGCUCGAGCUAUCAAUCCGGGGACGGCCCCA
Molecule: non-coding RNA, 53 nt
Rfam family: Guanidine-II riboswitch aptamer (mini-ykkC)
About the family: Simpler in structure and has fewer highly conserved nucleotide positions than the ykkC-yxkD leader. Despite this each of its two stem-loop structures directly bind free guanidine.